AUAGCCUUGGUGGGGGGCGCGGGCGAAGUUCGUCCGCCGGACUCGGAAUGGGGCGAGACUUUGCGAGGGGCCUCGGGGUGCCAAAACUAAGCCGCGGGCAAAGCCGCGCCCAAAAAUAAGCACCCGAAGGUCGUGGUUUCAAAAACCCCCAGCGGAAAAAUGGCCAAAAAAUGGGUGGGCUAUAGCCUUGGUGGGGGGCGCGGGCGAAGUUCGUCCGCCGCACUCGGAAUGGGGCGAGACUUUGCGAGGGGCCUUGGGGUGCCACAAAAAAGCCGCGGGCAAAGCCGCGCCCAAAAAUAAGCGCCCGAAGGUCGUGGUGCCAAAACCGCCCAGCGGAAAAAUGGCCAAAAAACGGGUGGGCUAUAGCCUUGGUGGGGGGCGCGGGCGAAGUUCGUCCGCCGGACUCGGAAUGGGACGAGACUUUGCGAGGGGCCUCGGGGUGCCAAAGCUAAGCCGCGGGCAAAGCCGCGGCCGAAGGUCGUGGUGCCAAAAAUCCCCAGCGGAAAAAUGGCCAAAAAACGGGUGGGUUAUAGCCUUGGUGGGGGGCGCGGGCGAAGUUCGUCCGCCGGACUCGGAAUGGGGUGAGACUUUGCGAGGGGCCUCGGGGUGCCAAAACUAAGCCGCGGGCAAAGCCGCGCCCGAAGGUCAUGGUGCCAAAACCCCCCAGCGGAAAAAUGGCCAAAAAACGGGUGGGCUAUAGCCUUGGUGGGGGGCGCGGGCGAAGUUCGUCCGCCGGACUCGGAAUGGGGCGAGACAUUGCGAGGGGCCUCGGGGUGCUCAAAAUAAGCCGCGGGCAAACCGCGCCCAAAAAUAAGCGCCCGAAAGUCGUGGUGCCAAACCCGCCAGCGGAAAAAUGGCAAAAACGGGUGGGCUAUAGCCUUGGUGGGGGGCGCGGGCGAAUUUCGUCCGCCGGACUCGGAAUGGGGCGAGACUUUGCGAGGGGCCUCGGGGUGCCAAAACUAAGCCGCGGGCAAAGCCGCGCCCAAAAAUAAGCACCCGAAGGUCGUGGUUUCAAAAACCCCCAGCGGAAAAAUGGCCAAAAAACGGGUGGGCUAUAGCCUUGGUGGGGGGCGCGGGCGAAGUUCGUCCGCCGGACUCGGAAUGGGGCGAGACUUUGCGAGGGGCCUUGGGGUGCCAAAAAAAAGCCGCGGGCAAAGCCGCGCCCAAAAAUAAGCGCCCAAAGGUCGUGGUGCCAAAACCCCCCAGCGGAAAAAUGGCCAAAAAACGGGUGGGCUAUAGCCUUGGUGGGGGGCGCGGGCGAAGUUCGUCCGCCGGACUCGGAAUGGGACGAGACUUUGCGAGGGGCCUCGGGGUGCCAAAACUAAGCCGCGGGCAAAGCCGCGCCCGAAGGUCGUGGUGCCAAAAACCCCCAGCGGAAAAAUGGCCAAAAAACGGGUGGGCUAUAGCCUUGGUGGGGGGCGCGGGCGAAGUUCGUCCGCCGGACUCGGAAUGGGGCGAGACUUUGCGAGGGGCCUCGGGGUGCCAAAACUAAGCCGCGGGCAAAGCCGCGCCCAAAAAUAAGCGCCCGAAGGUCGUGGUGCCAAAACCCCCCAGCGGAAAAAUGGCCAAAAAACGGGUGGGCUAUAGCCUUGGUGGGGGGCGCGGGCGAAGUUCGUCCGCCGGACUCGGAAUGGGGCGAGACUUUGCGAGGGGCCUCGGGGUGCCAAAACUAAGCCGCGGGCAAAGCCGCGCCCAAAAAUAAGCGCCCGAAGGUCGUGGUGCCAAAACCCCCCAGCGGAAAAAUGGCCAAAAAACGGGUGGGCUAUAGCCUUGGUGGGGGGCGCGGGCGAAGUUCGUCCGCCGGACUCGGAAUGGGGCGAGACUUUGCGAUGGGCCUCGGGGUGCCAAAACUAAGCCGCGGGGAAAGCCGCGCCCAAAAAUAAGCGCCCGAAGGUCGUGGUGCCAUAAACCCCCAGCGGAAAAAUGGCCAAAAAA
This 1935-nucleotide long non-coding RNA is filed under the name Citrus x clementina. Its description in RNAcentral is "Citrus clementina (C. clementina) long non-coding RNA (CCLE_LNC000669)". The record is from RNAcentral. Lineage: Eukaryota; Viridiplantae; Streptophyta; Magnoliopsida; Sapindales; Rutaceae.